Molecule: transfer RNA, 74 nt
Filed under: Sphaerodactylus townsendi
Lineage: Eukaryota; Metazoa; Chordata; Lepidosauria; Squamata; Sphaerodactylidae
Description: tRNA-Ala
Source: RNAcentral
GAUUCGUUGUGACUCAGUGGUAGAGCAUUUGUUUGGCAUGCAGAAGGUCCCAGGUUCAAUCCUUGAUAUGUUCA